AGAAGGGGAGUACAACACAUAGGACCAUUAUUGCUGAUGACACCAGAUACUCUUUUGCUUGAAUUUCUGAAGCACUGGAUAAAUGCAGCACAAGAUAACAAGAGUUCCCAGCAAAGGAGGCAGGAUGCCUUCACCAGCCAUUUUAACUUGCAACACACAGUGGAGAGUUGGAUUUGAAGAAAAGAAAAAAAUCAGGUUUUUCGAUGAUGUACCUUAAGAACCUCUCUUUUCUAAGAUCUAUAGUUAAAAACACCAUUGUCAGCCAUGGAUCAGUUCUUUUUCUCAUGAAGCCACCUUUUAAAAAAACUACAUUAAGUUAUAAUUUACAUGCAAUAAAAUGCACCCAUUAUAAGUAGGACUGUGAGGAAUGUGUAUACUUGAGUGAACAACCACUACAAGAUCUAGAGCACCCUCCUCCUCCCCAGAAAACAUGGCUAAGGCCCCUUUUUAGUCAGUCCUGCCUCCACCCCAACCACAGGCCACUGCUUUGCUUUCUAUCGUGAUAGAUUAAUUUUGCUUUUCCAGAUCAUUCCAUAAACAGUAUGUAUUGUUUUUGGCCUGGAUUUUUAACUUAGCAUAAACUUUUUGAGAUUCAUCAGUGUUGUUGCUUGUAUCUGUAACUUGUUUUUUUUCUUUUUUUCCCCUUCUGAGUUUUAUUGCAUUUUAUGAAUAUACCACAAUUUGUUUAUCCAUUUGCCUGUUGGUGGAUGGUUGGAUUGUAUUCACUUAGGGCUAUUAUGAGUAUGGCUGCUAUGGACAUUUGUGUAUAGGUCUUCGUGUAGUAUUCAUUUCUCUUGGGCAAAUAUUAAUAUCUAGGAGGAAAUGGCUGGGUUGUAUGAUUAAGUGUGUGCGUAACCUUUUAAGAAACUGCCAAGGUGUUUUCCAGAGUGUUUCUGUCAUUUUAAAUUCCCACCAGUGACGGAUGAGCAUUCAAGUGGCUCCACAUUCCCAGCACCACUUGGGUUUGUCAGCUUUUUAAAAUAAUUUUAGUCAUUCUAGAGGUUUGUAGAGGUAUAUCAUUGUGAUUUUAAUUUGCAGUUUCCUGAAGACUAAGGACAAUGAGCAGUUUUUUUAUGUGUUUUUUGGCCAUUUGGAUAGCUUUUUUAUUUUUUGUAAAAUGUCUGUUUAAAUCUUUUGCCAGUAUUGUUUUAGGUUGUUAUCUCCUAAUUACUGAGUUGUAAGAGUUCCUUAUAUAUUUGGAAUACUAGUCCUUUAGCAGAUGUAUAUGUAUUACAAAUAUUUUCUCCCACCUUGUGGCUUGCCAUGUCAUUUUCUUAUUGGUGUCUUUCAAAGAGCAAAAGUUUUUAAUUUUGAGAGUCCAAUUUAUCAAUUUAUUUU
This is a long non-coding RNA of Lemur catta (Ring-tailed lemur), 1338 nucleotides long. RefSeq lists it as uncharacterized. The record is from RefSeq and is a predicted model, not a curated record. The transcript has 3 exons. Lineage: Eukaryota; Metazoa; Chordata; Mammalia; Primates; Lemuridae.